GAUGAAGAACGUAGUGAAAUGCGAUAAGUAAUGUGAAUUGCAGAAUUCAGUGAAUCAUCGAAUCUUUGAACGCACAUUGCGCCCGCCAGUAUUCUGGCGGGCAUGCCUGUUCGAGCGUCAUUUCAACCAUCAAGCCCCCGGCUUGUGUUGGGGACCUGCGGCUGCCGCAGGCCCUGAAAAGCAGUGGCGGGCUCGCUGUCACACCGAGCGUAGUAGCAUACAUCUCGCUCUGGGCGUGCUGCGGGUUCCGGCCGUUAAACCACCUUCAUAACCCAAGGUUGACCUCGGAUCAGGUAGGAAGACCCGCUGAACUAAAGCAUAUCAAUAAGCGGAGGA
This 336-nucleotide unclassified non-coding RNA is filed under the name soil metagenome. RNAcentral describes it as "partial contains 5.8S ribosomal RNA, internal transcribed spacer 2, and large subunit ribosomal RNA". The stretch from base 1 to 120 matches the Rfam family "5.8S ribosomal RNA", at positions 35 to 154 of the family's 154-position model. The record is from RNAcentral.